UAGUGUGUCCAUUCCACACUGCCAAUUGGUACUGAAAAUGUCUGGCAUUUUCAGGGCGCUGAUCAACGCUUUGAUUUGAUCCGUUGUACUUUUGAGUACCGUGGAGUAAGGCUGUCGUCAGCAGGUGCCCACGUUAAACAUUCCGGUUGUUGUUAACAGUUCCGUGGAAGCCAAGCCUAUUUGAUUGAUGACAGGAGAUAUAUCGUUUCGCCAUCGUUCACUACCAGAUCCAUUUGCUUCCCUUCCUUAUCCAAUCUGGAGAAAGCAGAACUAACGACGCGUUUAUCAAAAGGGGGUCUCUCAUCCGAGGCUUUUGUUUCCUUUUCAUUGGGAGUAUUUUUUACGAGUCCCAAUUUCAGCGCACAACCCUGUGGUGGGAUGGUUCACCUUCUCACUUCAGCUCACAUUCAAAUGGUUGUUUUUUGGCUACCCAGCGGAUACUUGGUCAAAGACCGGAAGUCGGGAGCUGCUUGAGUUGUAUGUAGAGGAAUCGUUUCUGGCCACUCGAAAGUGAAUGGCGCUCAGAGUACUUUCCUCACUUGCGUGAACUUCUACACAUGACUCAAUCUUUCUACUCACUUUUUCCAUAUAUAACUUCCCAAUUGAAUUAAUUCACAUCAAACCAAUACCACCCAAAGAUAGCAUCCCCAAAAUCGAUUUGACCUCAUUAGAUUUGCUUGAAAGCUGUUCAGAAGACGCAGUUUUAACUCUUUAAACUUCUGUUAGUUUCGUUCCACAAAGCCAAUAAACUGUUUGCAAAAUUACGCUAGUCACACUACUGGAAAAGUUGUGAUAAUAGAUGCCACUAAUAAUAAUGAGGUAAGCAAUCUUUCCACGACGAACCUUUGUCUUGCUUCUGUAACCUCGAUAACAAGCGCGAAGAGUUCGAAAGCCAUUCUACUUAUUUUUUGGUGGAAUUAGAUUAUGACUAAGAGAGACUUCCACUUAACUAGAAAUUUAACCCAACCCAAAACCCUGAAAAAAUCAGCGUCUAUUUUAGUUCAGUAUUGCUUGAAAUCAUCAUGAAAAGACUUACGCCUGGACAACGUUUACAAAACGUUCAGCUUUAUUAUGAAAAUUCACGUUCCGUAAAGAAUGUGUUUCGCGCGCUUCGCUCAGCUCCCUACGACGUAGGGCGUUUUACGUCGAAAUCUAAAAUUGAAAGCGUACAAAAUACAACAUUUGCAAUAACUAAAGCCGCUCGACCUUCUCAAGUGACAUCGCUUCGUUCUAUGGGCUCUUGAAAAGUUCGAAGAAGAUCCCACGUUUUCGAGCUAUAUUUUGUUCAGCGAUGAGGCCCAUUUCUGGCUCAAUGGAAACAAUAACGGUUUAGUGAGUCUUACGGGCCGGUGGAAUCAUCGGUCCAUAUUACAUCAAAAAUGAUGCCGGUGUGAACGUACGUUAAUGGCUACCGUUAUCGUGUCAUGAUAAUCGACUAUUUGAUGCCUGAAAUUGAAGCUCGAGAUCUCGGCGACAUUUGGUUUCAACGAGACGGUGCUACUUCCCACACAUCGAAUCAAUCAAUGGAUAUACAGAAAGAACACUUCCGCGAGCAGAUAAUAUGUGGGGAUAUGUAAAUUUUAAAGUCUGUGCGAAUAAUCCCGCUUCGAUUCAGGCCUUGGAGCAAAACAUCACGCAUAUAAUUCGCCAUUUACCAGUUAAAAUGCGAACGAACGAGACAUCGAAAAUUGGACUUAAUGGAUGGAGCUUCUGAGAUGUAGCCGCGGCCAACAUUUAAAAAAGAUAAUCUUCAAAAAAUAAAUGCCAAAGAAUGUUCUUUCGAAUAAUAAUAAAAAUGUUCCAUUAAAUCUGAAA
Bactrocera neohumeralis is the source of this 1815-nucleotide long non-coding RNA. RefSeq lists it as uncharacterized. The record is from RefSeq and is a predicted model, not a curated record. The transcript is spliced from 2 exons. Lineage: Eukaryota; Metazoa; Arthropoda; Insecta; Diptera; Tephritidae.